This 589-nucleotide small RNA is filed under the name Arabidopsis thaliana (thale cress). Its description in RNAcentral is "ATSL281610". The record is from RNAcentral. Lineage: Eukaryota; Viridiplantae; Streptophyta; Magnoliopsida; Brassicales; Brassicaceae.
AAAAAUAUACUUAAAACUUUAAUUUUUUUAAAACACAUUUUGAUUCUUUUAUAAGAAAUUUAAACAUUAUAAAUAUUUAAACUUUAUAGUACGGGUGAAAUUUUAGAAUUGACUGUUUGGGUUGAUAAAAAUUUACGAUAGAACUAGGAGUUAAAUCCUAGAAUGACAAUCAAAAUAUAAUUAUACAAUUAAAUACUACCACGAGUGAAAUCCUAGAAUUGACGAGUUUUUGAAUCGAUAUUAAUAUGGGAUGGUGUACUACGGGUGAUAUUUUAGAAUUGACUGGUUUGGGUUGAUAAUAAUUUGCGAUAGAAUUAGGAGUAAAAUCCUAUAAUGACAAUUAAAAUAUAAUUAUACAAUUAAAUACUAGCACGGGUGAAAUCCUAGAAUUGACGGCCUUGAUUCGAUAUUAAUAUGGGAUGGUGUACUACGGGUGAAAUCCGAGAAACAACAAUCAAAAUACAAUUACACAAUAUUAAACAUUUAACAAAAUAAACAAAUACAACUUAAAACUUUAAAAUUUGAGUUAUAAAAUUUCUUCUCGCGGUGAAUUAUACAUUUAAAUCAAACAAUAGCAUAAAUUUAUAAA